AGUGCUUGGUUUGCGCCAUUUUUGCGGCAUUUUGGGACGUCGGCGCUUUCUCGCCCUCCUCUUAGCUCUUAAGGGUUUAGCGGCUUUGAGACUUUGUGGGCUUUACGGCCUCGUUGGGGUGCUACGGCUAAGGAGGAGGAGGCGGUCGGUCUGCUUGACCGCCUUCCUCCACCUACCCGACGAAGCCGCCUACGUGAGGGAGGAGAAGCCGCGGCUGCGGCGCGAGCUCGCGCCCCUACGCCGCCGCCGCGUCCAAGAGCACGAUGCGGAGGAGCCGAAGGAGCUAAGGGUCUGGGAGAGGCGGAUGUGCCCGGGACUUCGGCGGAAGCAGCGCGGGUAGGCGCGGCGUCGGAGAAGGACAGAGCGGCGACGGAGGGCGCAACCGCGGAGGCUGAGCCUGGCACGUCGCAAACUCGAGCGUUUUUUCUUACGACCAACACAAAAAGGUUUCGUUCCGCUGCAAUCGUUACUUUUCUACUUCACAAGUUUCAUAAAAGUCCGAAAAGUACUCUUUAGGUUUCCUUUACAACGACUAGUUGUCUUGAGUCGAACGCUCUUCAAGUGCUAAGUUCCCCCAGGUGUAUAACUCCUUUCGGGUCGACCGUAUCUGUUACUCUUCGAAUCGUAACCCCGAAGUUUUAACUACCGUGUUAGUUUUUAUUGUAGUAACAUGCCAUUGUUCAAGAACUUCCGUUUAUCACACAGUCUGUUCUUAUACAAGUUUAGUCUCCCCUUGUACAGAUUUCUCAAACGAACACAACUCUUACUCUAGUCUUGUUUAUUUUUACUAUUGUGUGCAGGACGAAUAGACCCCCAACUUCUCCUAUUCUUUGUAACACCCGGUAACGUCUGAAGUUUUGCUUUCGUAUGUCCCAAGUCUUCAGGAUAUACACUUGUACGCCUAAGAGAUAAUUUGGUUCUACUUCGACUACGAGGACGGUUACCCAAACACUGACGAUCCUAUUUCAACCGCUACCUGUGACACGUUUUCGUACCCGUAUUACCGGUGGUUCCACGAAGACAUAGAGGCGUUACACUAUUGUUGGAAUCAUGUGUCUUAAUACCACACUCCGGUUCGACCUUAAGAGCAGCACCUGGUGCACCAUUAAAACAGGGGGGAUAGGCUUUGUUACCACCUAGACGAACGUUGCGUUAGUUGAGUGCUCCUCAACGACCUUUUUUACUACUAAGGUACCUUCUAAGUUAUUUUUUUACGAAUCUUUACGAAACACCGGGACUACCACUCGAAGGACUCUUCAACUCCUUAAACCUUGGAGCGGAAUAACUCGUACAAUCAUUGCUUUAUUACCUAUUUCUGGGAUUACAAGCGACCCUACUGUAUCGACCAAACCUAGUACGUUUCUUCACACACUGUCUCUACCAAUAAACCGGGGAUGACGCAGGUCUGUAGAAAGCACCAACAGCCAGUGGACCUUCUCCUGAUGAUGAUAAACCUGGAGGACCUUGUCCGUUUUGGUACUAACCUUUUCGUUAACGACCACUCCGAUUCCGUUGUAAAAAGAUGUAUAGACGUUCAAGUGAGUGCUCGUUUACCUAACCGCUCCCGCUUUUCGAUCAGGCCCGUGAUAAACCACAUCGGACAACAGCAGUCGGACGACAGUAUAAACACCUACUCUAACUAAGUGAUGAUAGAGUCGCGUUUAGUCUACCACUUGUACUUAGUUCAUCCUCCAAUUUUUGUGUCAAAGAUUAACUCUACCUUCCAAAACUGUCACCUUUGCUCGUUUAAAAUGAAUAUCCUCGUUGUUUGUCUGGAGUUCUUAAUCUACUUCGUCGUGCGUCCGCUGACUGUUUCGCAGAUAUGUAGGGGGAAGGAAGUAGUCUUCGUGCAUGAACCUAUUAAGCGUUAGAUAACCUUUUCCUACCGGAAAAGUUCGAGAGUCUCUUUCUUUGUCCACAGUAGACGUUCAAUUGUCUUCCAAUGAGCCCUAGACUAUACUUUUUAGAACACUUUCUACGGAGUUACCCCGGUGACUCUCUUCGAGAGGUUGUCCCACAACUUUAGUGUUUCGAGUUGUUCCUCCUUCACGCAGGCCACUACGAGUUCCUGAAACUCCGACGAGACGUCCUCCAGUCUGGAAGACAAAGGUGUUCGCUUAACCCCUAAAUACUUCUUACCUUGUACGUCAAACCGUCGGAUAGUUAGAUUAAACAUACCCCUAUAAGAGUUCAUGAUGGAGGCCGGGUAUUACAUUCUGCAAAAACGUUCGAUACUAUCGAACGUUUUUUGCAGAAUGUAACACCCUACAUCAUCAUUCAUGUUUAUUUUAGUAGUGUUGUCUAUUCACCGAGUUACUAAAGUGGUACUUAUAAUGGUGUUUAUUCACCAAGUAACUAAUUGGGUGUUGUAAUGUGACAG
This 2380-nucleotide ribosomal RNA is filed under the name Triticum aestivum (bread wheat). RNAcentral's name for it is "partial small subunit ribosomal RNA". The record is from RNAcentral. Lineage: Eukaryota; Viridiplantae; Streptophyta; Magnoliopsida; Poales; Poaceae.